UGUAGCUCAAUGGUAGAGCGCCGGACUGUGGCUCCGGAUGUUGCGGGUUCAAUCCCCGUCACUCACCCCA
This 70-nucleotide transfer RNA is filed under the name Acidobacteriota bacterium. RNAcentral's name for it is "Acidobacteria bacterium (marine metagenome) tRNA-His". It matches the Rfam family "tRNA". From Rfam's summary of the family: Transfer RNA (tRNA) molecules are approximately 80 nucleotides in length. Their secondary structure includes four short double-helical elements and three loops (D, anti-codon, and T loops). The record is from RNAcentral. Lineage: Bacteria; Pseudomonadati; Acidobacteriota.